CAGAGUCCCACCUCCUCCUGAGCUCUGACGCUUUCUUCUCUGUGCUCCCUGCUAAUCAAUUCACCAGUAUGAAGGGCUUGGCGUUGCUGGUCCUGGUGGCAGUUUCCACCUUCCUGGUCUUGGGCUAGAGUUCAACAGAUGCUUCAUCUGAUAGCUCUACUGCUGGUGGCUUCACUGGUAUCGCCACCACUUACGAUGAAAUCACUGAGGACAGUGACAUUGAUGAGGACACCACUGAAGCUCCUGAUACCAAGACCAGCGCUGCUCCAACUGGCCUUCUAAAGUGUAAAUCCACCUGAUCUAAGUUCUUUCUUUCUUUUUUGACUUUUUUUCCUUUAAAUUUUUAUUGUUAUGUUAAUCACCAUACAUUACAUCAUUAGUUUU
This is a non-coding RNA of Callorhinus ursinus (northern fur seal), 384 nucleotides long. The record is from RefSeq and is a predicted model, not a curated record. Lineage: Eukaryota; Metazoa; Chordata; Mammalia; Carnivora; Otariidae.